This 632-nucleotide ribosomal RNA is filed under the name Symbiodinium sp. RNAcentral describes it as "eukaryotic LSU rRNA". It matches the Rfam family "Eukaryotic large subunit ribosomal RNA", at positions 43 to 668 of the family's 3401-position model. The record is from RNAcentral. Lineage: Eukaryota; Dinophyceae; Suessiales; Symbiodiniaceae.
UAAGUAAGCGGGGGAAAAGGAACUAAAUAGGAUUCCCUCAGUAAUGGCGAAUGAACAGGGAUGAGCUCAGGCUGGAAACCGAUACAUCUGUGUCGGGCUGUAGCCUGCAGGCAUAGCGCUAUCGGCGGCUCGAGCGCAAGCCUCUUGGAAUAGAGCGUGUGCCCGGGUGAGAAUCCUGCAUUUCGCUCGAUGUCCGCUGUCCACAGUGCUUGUUCUGAGAGUCACGCUCCUCGGAAUUGGAGCGUAAAUCAGGUGGUAAGUUUCAUCCAAAGCUAAAUACAAGCUCGAGACCAAUAGCAAACAAGUACCAUGAGGGAAAGAUGAAAAGGACUUUGGAAAGAGAGUUAAAAGUGUUUGAAAUUGCUGAGAGGGAAGCGAACGGAACCACAUGUCGUGCUGAGAUUGCUGUGGGUCUUUGUGAGCCUUGAGCAUGUAAGCGCAAGCUGACUGCUUAUGCGUGAGCAUUUGCCCGCAGUGUUUCUCAGCAUGCGAGUCAUUAGCCACAUUUGUUUGAGGAUGGCCUUCAGCUCACAUGGUACACUUGUUAGUGUGCCUCUGUGCGGUGUGGGAUUCAGACACGUGUGGCUUGUUGACCCAUUGGUUUUUUUCGACCCGUCUUGAAACACGGACCA